Molecule: ribosomal RNA, 1409 nt
Filed under: metagenome
Description: bacterial LSU rRNA
Rfam family: Bacterial large subunit ribosomal RNA
Source: RNAcentral
CCAAAAUCCGGGAUCACUUACGCCGAGCACCGAGACGAGUCCUAUGAGGACGAAGUGACUGACACCACGCUUCCAGGAAAAGCCACUAAGCUUCAGCUUAAGAAAAACCGUACCGCAAACCGACACAGGUAGGCAGGGUGAGAAUCCCAAGGCGCUUGAGAGAACUCGGGUGAAGGAACUAGGCAAAAUGGCACCGUAACUUCGGGAGAAGGUGCGCCCUUUGGUGUGGUCACGUGCGUGACUGAGCAUCGAAGGGUCGCAGUAACCUGGCCGCUGCGACUGUUUAUCAAAAACACAGCACUCUGCAAACACGAAAGUGGACGUAUAGGGUGUGACGCCUGCCCGGUGCUGGAAGGUUAAUUGAUGGGGUCAGCCGCAAGGCGAAGCUCUUGAUCGAAGCCCCAGUAAACGGCGGCCGUAACGAUAACGGUCCUAAGGUAGCGAAAUUCCUUGUCGGGUAAGUUCCGACCUGCACGAAUGGCGUAACGACAGCGGCGCUGUCUCCACCCGAGACUCAGUGAAAUUGAAAUCGCUGUGAAGAUGCAGCGUUCCCGCGGCAAGACGGAAAGACCCCGUGAACCUUUACUAUAGCUUUACACUGAACGUUGAGUUCUUCUGUGUAGGAUAGGUGGGAGGCUAUGAAACCAGGACGCUAGUUCUGGUGGAGCCAUCCUUGAAAUACCACCCUGAAGUGCUUGACGUUCUAACCUAGGCCCGUAAUCCGGGUCAGGGACCGUGUAUGGUGGGUAGUUUGACUGGGGCGGUCUCCUCCCAAAGAGUAUCGGAGGAGCACGAAGGUACGCUCAGCGCGGUCGGACAUCGCGCACUGUGUGCAAAGGCAUAAGCGUGCUUGACUGCGAGAUCGACGGAUCAAGCAGGUACGAAAGUAGGUCUUAGUGAUCCGGUGGUUCUGUAUGGAAGGGCCAUCGCUCAACGGAUAAAAGGUACCCCGGGAUAACAGGCUGAUACCGCCCAAGAGUUCAUAUCGACGGCGGUGUUUGGCACCUCGAUGUCGGCUCAUCACAUCCUGGGGCUGUAGCCGGUCCCAAGGGUAUGGCUGUUCGCCAUUUAAAGUGGUACGCGAGCUGGGUUCAGAACGUCGUGAGACAGUUCGGUCCCUAUCUGUCGUGGGCGUUGGAGAUUUGAGGGGGGCUGCUCCUAGUACGAGAGGACCGGAGUGGACGUUCCGCUGGUGUUCGGGUUGUCAUGCCCAUGGCAUUGCCCGGUAGCUACGAACGGAAGUGAUAACCGCUGAAAGCAUCUAAGCGGGAAGCACGCCCCAAGAUGAGAUCUCCCGAGAGCUUGACUCUCCUAAAGGCACCAUCAAGACUAGGUGGUUGAUAGGUCAGGUGUGGAAGCGCAGCAAUGCGUUGAGCUAACUGAUACUAAUGAGCCGUGAGGCUUGAUCA